Molecule: ribosomal RNA, 279 nt
Filed under: uncultured bacterium
Lineage: Bacteria
Description: partial 16S ribosomal RNA
Rfam family: Bacterial small subunit ribosomal RNA
Source: RNAcentral
UGCCAGCAGCCGCGGUAAGACGAACCGGACAAACGUUAUUCGGAAUUAUUGGGCGUAAAGGGCGCGCAGGCGGUCUUGUCCGUCAGGUGUGAAAGCUCGGGGCUCAACCCCGGAAGUGCACUUGAAACAGCAAGACUUGAAUACGGUAGAGGAGAGAGGAAUUCCUGGUGUAGAGGUGAAAUUCGUAGAUAUCAGGAGGAACACCGAUGGCGAAGGCAUCUCUCUGGGCCGAUAUUGACGCUGAGGCGCGAAGGCGUGGGUAGCGAACGGGAUUAGAUA